UUGACGGGGCCGCACAAGCGGUGGAGCAUGUGGUUAAUUCGAAGCAACGCGAAGAACCUUACCAGGUCUUGACAUCCCGAUGCUAUUUCUAGAGAUAGAAAGUUACUUCGGUACAUCGGUGACAGGUGGUGCAUGGUUGUCGUCAGCUCGUGUCGUGAGAUGUUGGGUUAAGUCCCGCAACGAGCGCAACCCCUAUUGUUAGUUGCCAUCAUUCAGUUGGGCACUCUAGCGAGACUGCCGGUAAUAAACCGGAGGAAGUGGGGAUGACGUCAAAUCAUCAUGCCCCUUAUGACCUGGGCUACACACGUGCUACAAUGGUUGGUACAACGAGUUGCGAGUCGGUGACGGCGAGCUAAUCUCUUAAAGCCAAUCUCAGUUCGGAUUGUAGGCUGCAACUCGCCUACAUGAAGUCGGAAUCGCUAGUAAUCGCGGAUCAGCACGCCGCGGUGAAUACGUUCCCGGGCCUU
RNAcentral lists this ribosomal RNA (467 nucleotides) under uncultured Streptococcus sp. RNAcentral's name for it is "bacterial SSU rRNA". It matches the Rfam family "Bacterial small subunit ribosomal RNA", at positions 910 to 1382 of the family's 1533-position model. Lineage: Bacteria; Bacillati; Bacillota; Bacilli; Lactobacillales; Streptococcaceae. The record is from RNAcentral.